AACGCUAGCGACAGGCUUAACACAUGCAAGUCGAGGGGCAUCAGGAAGAAAGCUUGCUUUCUUUGCUGGCGACCGGCGCACGGGUGAGUAACACGUAUCCAACCUGCCCUUUACUCGGGGAUAGCCUUUCGAAAGAAAGAUUAAUACCCGAUAGCAUAAUGAUUCCGCAUGGUUUCAUUAUUAAAGGAUUCCGGUAAAGGAUGGGGAUGCGUUCCAUUAGGUUGUUGGUGAGGUAACGGCCCACCAAGCCUUCGAUGGAUAGGGGUUCUGAGAGGAAGGUCCCCCACAUUGGAACUGAGACACGGUCCAAACUCCUACGGGAGGCAGCAGUGAGGAAUAUUGGUCAAUGGGCGCUAGCCUGAACCAGCCAAGUAGCGUGAAGGAUGAAGGCUCUAUGGGUCGUAAACUUCUUUUAUAUAAGAAUAAAGUGCAGUAUGUAUACUGUUUUGUAUGUAUUAUAUGAAUAAGGAUCGGCUAACUCCGUGCCAGCAGCCGCGGUAAUACGGAGGAUCCGAGCGUUAUCCGGAUUUAUUGGGUUUAAAGGGAGCGUAGGUGGACUGGUAAGUCAGUUGUGAAAGUUUGCGGCUCAACCGUAAAAUUGCAGUUGAUACUGUCAGUCUUGAGUACAGUAGAAGUGGGCGGAAUUCGUGGUGUAGCGGUGAAAUGCUUAGAUAUCACGAAGAACUCCGAUUGCGAAGGCAGCUCACUGGACUGCAACUGACACUGAUGCUCGAAAGUGUGGGUAUCAAACAGGAUUAGAUACCCUGGUAGUCCACACAGUAAACGAUGAAUACUCGCUGUUUGCGAUAUACAGUAAGCGGCCAAGCGAAAGCAUUAAGUAUUCCACCUGGGGAGUACGCCGGCAACGGUGAAACUCAAAGGAAUUGACGGGGGCCCGCACAAGCGGAGGAACAUGUGGUUUAAUUCGAUGAUACGCGAGGAACCUUACCCGGGCUUAAAUUGCAGUGGAAUGAUGUGGAAACAUGUCAGUGAGCAAUCACCGCUGUGAAGGUGCUGCAUGGUUGUCGUCAGCUCGUGCCGUGAGGUGUCGGCUUAAGUGCCAUAACGAGCGCAACCCUUAUCUUUAGUUACUAACAGGUUAUGCUGAGGACUCUAGAGAGACUGCCGUCGUAAGAUGUGAGGAAGGUGGGGAUGACGUCAAAUCAGCACGGCCCUUACGUCCGGGGCUACACACGUGUUACAAUGGGGGGUACAGAAGGCAGCUAGCGGGUGACCGUAUGCUAAUCCCAAAAUCCUCUCUCAGUUCGGAUCGAAGUCUGCAACCCGACUUCGUGAAGCUGGAUUCGCUAGUAAUCGCGCAUCAGCCACGGCGCGGUGAAUACGUUCCCGGGCCUUGUACGCACCGCCCGUCAAGCCAUGGGAGCCGGGGGUACCUGAAGUACGUAACCGCAAGGAUCGUCCUAGGGUAAAACUGGUGACUGGGGCUAA
RNAcentral lists this ribosomal RNA (1449 nucleotides) under uncultured organism. RNAcentral's name for it is "SSU rRNA". It matches the Rfam family "Bacterial small subunit ribosomal RNA". The record is from RNAcentral.